UGGCGGACGGGUGAGUAACGCGUAGGAAUCUGCCUAGCAGCGGGGGACAACCUGGAGAAAUCCAGGCUAAUACCGCAUACGCCCUACGGGGGAAAGACGGGGAUCUUCGGACCUGUCACUGUUAGAUGAGCCUGCGUUAGAUUAGCUUGUUGGUGGGGUAAUGGCCUACCAAGGCGACGAUCUAUAACUGGUCUGAGAGGAUGACCAGUCACACUGGGACUGAGACACGGCCCAGACUCCUACGGGAGGCAGCAGUGGGGAAUAUUGGACAAUGGGCGCAAGCCUGAUCCAGCAAUGCAGCGUGUGUGAAGAAGGCCUUAGGGUUGUAAAGCACUUUCAAUUGGGAAGAAAAGCCUUAUGGUUAAUACCCGUGAGUCUUGACGGUACCAAUACAAGAAGCACCGGCUAACUCCGUGCCAGCAGCCGCGGUAAU
This 433-nucleotide ribosomal RNA is filed under the name uncultured bacterium. RNAcentral's name for it is "bacterial SSU rRNA". It matches the Rfam family "Bacterial small subunit ribosomal RNA", at positions 96 to 524 of the family's 1533-position model. The record is from RNAcentral.